GAUGAACGCUGGCGGCGUGCCUAAUACAUGCAAGUCGAGCGAACAGACGAGGAGCUUGCUCCUCUGACGUUAGCGGCGGACGGGUGAGUAACACGUGGAUAACCUACCUAUAAGACUGGGAUAACUUCGGGAAACCGGAGCUAAUACCGGAUAAUAUAUUGAACCGCAUGGUUCAAUAGUGAAAGACGGUUUUGCUGUCACUUAUAGAUGGAUCCGCGCCGCAUUAGCUAGUUGGUAAGGUAACGGCUUACCAAGGCAACGAUGCGUAGCCGACCUGGGAGGGUGGUCGGCCACACUGGAACUGAGACACGGUCCAGACUCCUACGGGAGGCAGCAGUAGGGAAUCUUCCGCAAUGGGCGAAAGCCUGACGGAGCAACGCCGCGUGAGUGAUGAAGGUCUUCGGAUCGUAAAACUCUGUUAUUAGGGAAGAACAAAUGUGUAAGUAACUAUGCACGUCUUGACGGUACCUAAUCAGAAAGCCACGGCUAACUACGUG
Molecule: ribosomal RNA, 497 nt
Filed under: uncultured bacterium
Lineage: Bacteria
Description: partial 16S ribosomal RNA
Rfam family: Bacterial small subunit ribosomal RNA
Source: RNAcentral